This is a long non-coding RNA of Miniopterus natalensis, 219 nucleotides long. RefSeq lists it as uncharacterized. The record is from RefSeq and is a predicted model, not a curated record. Lineage: Eukaryota; Metazoa; Chordata; Mammalia; Chiroptera; Miniopteridae.
CGGGGUCUCCACAGGGUCCUGUGUCCUCCGCGAGGAGCGACGGGGUGUCCAACCUGUGAGCGCGCAGGCAUCCCCGCGGCCCUGGGGCAUCCUGGAGAUUAUCCCCCGAGAAGCCACCUCUGACGUGUCCCGAAGCCCAGGGAUCAGCCCACCUUCCUCACCUGCGUGGCCAGCACAACCCAGGGGCCGCCUUCGUCGGGGACUUCGGGGGAGAGUGGC